Molecule: ribosomal RNA, 484 nt
Filed under: uncultured bacterium
Lineage: Bacteria
Description: partial 16S ribosomal RNA
Rfam family: Bacterial small subunit ribosomal RNA
Source: RNAcentral
AUUGAACGCUGGCGGCAGGCCUAACACAUGCAAGUCGAGCGGAUGAGGGGAGCUUGCUCCUGGAUUCAGCGGCGGACGGGUGAGUAAUGCCUAGGAAUCUGCCUGGUAGUGGGGGAUAACGUCCGGAAACGGGCGCUAAUACCGCAUACGUCCUGAGGGAGAAAGUGGGGGAUCUUCGGACCUCACGCUAUCAGAUGAGCCUAGGUCGGAUUAGCUAGUUGGUGGGGUAAAGGCCUACCAAGGCGACGAUCCGUAACUGGUCUGAGAGGAUGAUCAGUCACACUGGAACUGAGACACGGUCCAGACUCCUACGGGAGGCAGCAGUGGGGAAUAUUGGGCAAUGGGCGAAAGCCUGAUCCAGCCAUGCCGCGUGUGUGAAGAAGGUCUUCGGAUUGUAAAGCACUUUAAGUUGGGAGGAAGGGCAGUAAGUUAAUACCUUGCUGUUUUGACGUUACCAACAGAAUAAGCACCGGCUAACUUCGUG